CAAUAGCGUAUAUUAAAGUUGUUGCAGUUAAAAAGCUCGUAGUUGGAUUUCUGGAUGGAGUGACCGGUCGGGCAUUAAUUUGUCUGCACUGGAGUCGGUUCCGUCCAUCCUCUUGGAAAGUGCGUGGGGCAUUAAGUUGUCUGGCGUAUGAUCCAAGUCGUUUACUGUGAAAAAAUUAGAGUGUUUAAAGCAGGCCUUCGCCUUGAAUACAUUAGCAUGGAAUAAUAAGAUAGGACUUUGGUCUAUUUUGUUGGUUUGCAGACCGAAGUAAUGAUUAAUAGGGAUAGUUGGGGGUAUUUAUAUUCCGAUGUCAGAGGUGAAAUUCUUAGAUUUUCGGAAGAUAAACUUAUGCGAAAGCAUUUACCAAGGAUGUUUUCAUUAA
This 382-nucleotide ribosomal RNA is filed under the name uncultured eukaryote. RNAcentral's name for it is "partial 18S ribosomal RNA". It matches the Rfam family "Eukaryotic small subunit ribosomal RNA", at positions 592 to 976 of the family's 1831-position model. The record is from RNAcentral.